CUUCGCUCCAGGGUGGCGUGACGGUACGUUUGGAUCAAAUCAAUACACAAAUAACUUAAGGCACAAUAUCAUUGCUGACCACUUUGGUAAAUCGACGAAUUGAUGCUUUGUUUUAUCUGCUGUGGUCGAGCUUUGCUCUCGUGGGCUCCCAUCAUCGUCACACGUAUAUGUAACAUUCACUCGUACUCAAUACAGUGCUCCCGCGGCCCUGGUGGCUGCCGCAUGAGGUUCGAAUUCUUGCUUUGUACCAAAUAGCCACUCUUAAAUAGUCACAGCCAAUUCGAAGUAUGCACGUAUCAAUUAUUCCGCCUGUGGCCUAUUGACAACUGAGUUGCACGUUGGUAGCCACUUCAGGCGGUGUUGGUAUGUGACAGACCGGACUUCUUACGUAAGGUGAAGGUGGCUUUUUUCUACCAGUUCUGGUCGAGAAGAUGGGAGUUCAUUGACGUGGACGGCUUAAACGUCGCCAUCGCGGCCUUGUAUUUUUUCCACUCCUCAAAGAGAUAGGCACAAAGUAUUUAUAUUAGUGAGACACAUCGAUGAGUUAGAAAUCUUCUAUAAAUAUACUACGUAACUGGCCCAGGUCCGACAGCAGCACGUGAUGCACUGAAGAGCUUACAGAGAUCGCCUGACACUUGCGAAUUCUCAUAUCACUGCUGUUGCAGCUUUAAAAGAACUUGUUUGGUUCCCUUCUUUCCUGCCAGCUCGGAUUCGAGGAUUGGUUCUUUUGUGGUCGCACAGAAGAUUACCUAACUUGACUGCUUUUAUCUCAUAACUGAAGUCAUAUCCAGACUGGCACAGUUCGGGAUCGCGGUUUAUUUGUACCGAGGCAAUAUUUGCUUAGUACGGUGUGAGGGAAGGGAGCGGCUGCGAUCUCGUUUUGCCCUGUGGCUACCUCGUCUGUUUCAUGUCGAGGGUACCGGUUUGAAUGCGUGGGAAAAUGCUCCACUCAGUUUGUUGGCAUAGAUAAUGAAUAGUGUGACAUGACACAGGAUUCAGUUGAUUUAGGAAUACUUUUUCGGCUUGGUUGUUUUUCAGUUCUCGUACAUAGAAUCCAUGAAACGCGUGAGAGAUCCGCAGAUUCCAGUCUCCCAUGCUGACGUGGGUAUUCAACCUCAAUGAACAGGAAGUACGUUUUUUGCCGCUGGAAUAAUUGGAAAAAUAGAGUUUGCCUACAGGAUUAAGACCUACUUCUCCAUAGCGCCUUCUAUAGAAUGGGUCAAGAGCACGUAGACAUUUAUCGCGUGUCUUUACAAGCGCAUAUUUCACCGCAUACCUGAGCACGCGCUACUCGGCAUCAAUGUCUAAGCACAUUCAGCGGGCGCACAGAGAAAGGGAAUACGGUGAAGCGAUGAUGCCGCCCUUUGUAGCACUGCUCAUUCAGCUAAUGGUCAGCCCAGGUGCCAACAACUGACGCUUGCAUAUUGGGACAAACUCAACGGCCCACCUUUGAGAGACUGAGUAUUUGAGGAGUAGAAAUCGGCACUCAUGCUUCGCCUGGCAUGAACCUAUAGUUCCAGAAGGCCCGUGCUCAAUGUCAAACCUGAAACGUGCAUCUAGUUCUGGGAAUGGUAAAGAACUAUACGCCUAAACGGUACUUCGAGAACCACUUGAAAAUCAACUCUCAACAGGUAAGCGUCGGGACUACAGUAAGAAGAGGUUCCGAUGGUGAAUUGAUGCUUUUUCAACUAGAAUUGCGUGGCUGUCCUAAACGCGCGCAAAAAUGUGGCCAUCACGAGAUGUAUCACCGGCCACUGUGCCAGCGCCUAACAUAUGUGUAUUUGGUCCCGCUUGUCUCGCCGCUGAGUAGCGAGGAAUGCAUCAAUCCGCUGACGAGUGUAACAUCCGCACAAAGACAAUUUGGAGUUGUGAGGAAUGUGUCGGGGUGCACUAACAGCCCUUUUCAGUUUAGGCGGAGGGGACUCAGGACAUAGAACGCACGCAGACUACGUCGUGCCUUAGCAAACACGACAGUGUCCUUUCAGCAGGUACUCAGAAUUAUCACAUAUAAAGUGGAUUUCGGCAAGUGAGGGGUGGCAAAAAUAAAUGUUGAACCGUACUUUUCUGGAUAUCACAGCACGGGGCUGCCUCGUUGUUCAGGCGAUGCGUCGCUAUUGCACACGUGCAUACACACAUACGAGAGCCCGAGAGAGAGGCCAAAACUCAGGAACCUAUUGGAUGUACGAUGAGCUACCUAUCCGCCAUGUAUGGGGAAUAUGAAGUUCACCUCAGGCAGGAUUGUUGCUGUGGAGAGAGGCACGCCGUCAGUGUACUAAGAACCCCGCCUGGCUUCUUGUGGUCCUCCAUCACAAGGGAGCUGUUCUGAAAUUUUUUUGCUCCCGGGCGACUUUGCGAAAGAGGGUGCUGGAGCUAUUCACUGGAAAACAGUGCUGUGAUUCUGCCUGUCGUCGUACCAUCUUCCUGAUUCGGAGCUUCAAAUCAAUCGCAGCUUUACCGCUCAAGUGUCAAACGGGUCAGGCUCAAUUUGCUCGGUCGUGCUGUGGCUACUGUGAGAGUGACGUACCGGUGAUUAAGACUGGAGCCGUUGACGGAUGUUGUGCCGUGAUUCAGAUGAAGA
This 2578-nucleotide long non-coding RNA is filed under the name Toxoplasma gondii VEG. The record is from RNAcentral. Lineage: Eukaryota; Apicomplexa; Conoidasida; Eucoccidiorida; Sarcocystidae.